Long non-coding RNA from Tachysurus vachellii, 215 nucleotides. RefSeq lists it as uncharacterized. Lineage: Eukaryota; Metazoa; Chordata; Actinopteri; Siluriformes; Bagridae. The transcript is spliced from 4 exons. The record is from RefSeq and is a predicted model, not a curated record.
CUAUCCCACAGGUGGACUAAGACAUAUGCCCGAGAGGAAAAAGCCACAAAAGAAUUGCUCCUAUCACGCUCGCCUAGAGACUUUCCCCAUCAGGAGUGUUGUAAGAGAAAGAGUGAGAAAGGGCAAAGCAGAAAUGUUGGUUGACUGGGAGCCCUGUCCAGUAUGUGGCAAGGAGUGGGCCCAUUCCUGGCAGCCAAAGGAUUCUCUCCAAAUGA